UGGGGAAUUUUGGACAAUGGGCGAAAGCCUGAUCCAGCAAUGCCGCGUGUGUGAAGAAGGCCUUCGGGUUGUAAAGCACUUUUGUCCGGAAAGAAAUCCUUGGCUCUAAUACAGUCGGGGGGAUGACGGUACCGGAAGAAUAAGCACCGGCUAACUACGUGCCAGCAGCCGCGGUAAUACGUAGGGUGCAAGCGUUAAUCGGAAUUACUGGGCGUAAAGCGUGCGCAGGCGGUUUGCUAAGACCGAUGUGAAAUCCCCGGGCUCAACCUGGGAACUGCAUUGGUGACUGGCAGGCUAGAGUAUGGCAGAGGGGGGUAGAAUUCCACGUGUAGCAGUGAAAUGCGUAGAGAUGUGGAGGAAUACCGAUGGCGAAGGCAGCCCCCUGGGCCAAUACUGACGCUCAUGCACGAAAGCGUGGGGAGCAAACAGGAUUAGAUACCCUGGUAGUCCACGCCCUAAACGAUGUCAACUAGUUGUUGGGGAUUCAUUUCCUUAGUAACGUAGCUAACGCGUGAAGUUGACCGCCUGGGGAGUACGGUCGCAAGAUUAAAACUCAAAGGAAUUGACGGGGUCAUAGCUGUUUCC
This 585-nucleotide ribosomal RNA is filed under the name uncultured bacterium. Its description in RNAcentral is "partial 16S ribosomal RNA". It matches the Rfam family "Bacterial small subunit ribosomal RNA", at positions 355 to 937 of the family's 1533-position model. The record is from RNAcentral.